AGGCAGCAGUGGGGAAUUUUGGACAAUGGGCGAAAGCCUGAUCCAGCAAUGCCGCGUGUGCGAAGAAGGCCUUCGGGUUGUAAAGCACUUUUGUCAUGGAAGAAAUUGCCUGGGUUAAUACCUCGGGUCGUUGACGGUACCUGAAGAAUAAGCACCGGCUAACUACGUGCCAG
This 173-nucleotide ribosomal RNA is filed under the name uncultured beta proteobacterium. RNAcentral's name for it is "partial 16S ribosomal RNA". It matches the Rfam family "Bacterial small subunit ribosomal RNA", at positions 346 to 511 of the family's 1533-position model. The record is from RNAcentral. Lineage: Bacteria; Pseudomonadati; Pseudomonadota; Betaproteobacteria.